This 3131-nucleotide long non-coding RNA is filed under the name Triticum aestivum (bread wheat). RNAcentral describes it as "long non-coding RNA (TAES_LNC011025)". Lineage: Eukaryota; Viridiplantae; Streptophyta; Magnoliopsida; Poales; Poaceae. The record is from RNAcentral.
CCCCACCAACACCAUCGCCGGUACGUGCAGCCAUCUGGAAUUUCUUCUAGUACGCGCAAUCGUUGUUCUAUUCCCAUGCACAAGAUAUAAUCAGUUGGGGUUGGAUCUAUAGUUAUUUUUUAAUCAGAUGUAGCUGUUGUCGAAUCCGUCAUGCAGUCCCCUGUUUUUAAGAUUUACUACAGAUUUAUUAGUAUACAUAUCUGCAUGUCUACUCUCUGUUUUGAGAUUUGUUUUGCUAUGUUAGGUUGUCAGAUUAGAUACUUCAGAAUUGGUGGCUUGAUUUAAGUUGGGAUGCUUCCUUAGGAUUGAGAUAAUGAUGUAGUGUUACAUUCUGCUGUUUCAGAUUGAACAUAGCAUAGUUUGGCAGCACCGUUUAAAAAAAACCAUAAUCUAUAACCGCAGUUUUUAAAUGUGUGGGCAAGGAAUAUUCAAGUUUCUAAAAACCAAUCUCAUUUUAUCAACUUUGGACGUAGGCGAGGCGACGAGUUCUUUCAGUUCAGUUUAGUAAAAAGAGGCCCCGACCUCUUUUUUAAAUACCGCAAAAAACCAUAGUAUGAUAGAUAUGAAAGUACAGUAUUUUUUUUAUUCAAUCCCCUCAAAGUAUUUAAUACCAAAGUUAUUAGGUCCCUUCUAGGUUUAAUAUUCCCAAAUUAUUUCCAACUUAGAUAUCUGGUAAGCACAUGGACAAAAUUGUGGUUUGAAGACAAAUGUCGUGCCCUCCAACUUUUUGUCUGGAAUAUUUUUUCAGAGACUGCACUUCAAAACUAACAGUGAUUGAUAGCUUGAUAUGAUACACAAAUCACAGUACAAAGUUAAGAUGGCAAUGAGGUACCUUUCCAUCCAUCAUCCCUAGUUUACACAUUUGUCCAGGAUCGGACUCACCUAAUGAAUACUCAUGCUAAUCAACAAUUUUCCUAGGAUGUUACUUAGAAUUUUGGCAUGGUACUGUGGUGAUUUGUAGGCUCGCUUUUUUUAUUUCUCCAUGGCUUGUAGCUAUGACUUCAAAUCCGUCAUGGACACCCAUCGUACCUUGUUCUUUCUCAGUUCAGUUAGUAUCCAUUUGAAUUAGUUUUGUAAGAAUUCAGUUAGUUAAUAAAAACAUUUGGGAAGGCCUGAUUCUUAAGAAUUGGGUUUAGGUGAGACAAAAUUUGUGUGUUAGUAAUAAUAAAAUGAAACUACACAUCCGAUUUUAGACUAAUUUCUUCGUUCUGGACAAUAUAGUCCGUACAUCUCCUUCCUGAUCGACGCCCACAAUAUAGCAGUUGUAGUACUUUUCAGUUUUGCUUUUGUUAAGAUUUAAUCUUGGCUUUUCAGCUUUGGCGAAAAGAAUUUGCUUGCUUUGACAUUAGCUUGAUGGGUGGACUUGUUGGUCGUACAUUUUCCAUGUACUUACUUAUUUCCUGUGCUAUUCAUGAUGUUGCAGAUUUCUGCAAAUUUCUGUAAGGUAUUCAAAAUUACUUAUUUCCUGUGCUAUUCAUGAUGUUGCAAACCUUCUAGCAGCAUCAUUUUAACUGGUUAAAACCAUUCCCUCUUACUAUUCAUGAUGUUGCAAAUUUCUGUAAGGUAUUCAAAAGUAGUUAAGUAUUUACUCAUUUGCAUUAAAAUAUCUUUUCUAAAAUAUACUGGUUGUGAUUAGUUUUUCUAUUGUACUGAUCCAGGUUUGUGUCUUCUUACUAAGUACACACUAGUUGAGCAGCUGAGCUUGAGGCAGCAACCAAGGAGCUUGAGGCGUUGCAUGUUGAUCAAAAUCAAGAAACACAUGUAAGUACUAUGGUGCAGCAGUUCCAUUGGUUUCCAUAUUCCAUGGCAUGUGUGAUGAAUAACCAAUGCUCUUUCUAUGCAACAUGGAACACGAUUUCUUACAUGUCAUCCUUCUUGUUGACCCAUGUGUAAAAUUGUGGCGUUGCUGCCACCAUGGGUGCUACAUGAUGCUUUUAUUGUACAUAGGUGUGUUACGAGACAAAAUUAUCAAUUGUGUGUUUUUGUAUUAUGCCCUCUGUUGUGCUACUUGCUAUACUGUAUCCAGUGAGUACCCCCACCCAUAUAAUUAGCACACACUAGGAAUUCUUCUUUUAUGGAGGUAAGUAAAUGAAGAUGUAUGUACGCAAUAGCCAGUUUAUUGGCUUAAAUUUCACUUUUUAAAGCAAUCUGUUAUGUUGUCUCUGAUUUGGUUUACAAACAUGUUAAUUGUUAAGUGAAAGAAAGCAAAUUCAACUAAUAUUAUUGUACAUCUGCACAAUUAGAAUGGUGAAUCUGAUGGUUACUUAACCUGACUUUAAAUCUGACUAUUUACUUGGUGGAAUGAGCUCAACAUGAUGCUGAAAAUUUUGUUCAUGAUAGAAUACUAUUUACUUGGUAGAAUACUAUUUAUCACCAUUCAUUCUCAUUGUUCAUGAUGCUGAAAAUUUUGUAGUGCAUUGGAAAGCUACUACUGCAGAAUAACCAGGCCCGUAUGAUGCAUCUGUUAUAGCACUUGGGAGUUUUGUGAUGUGUGUUUUGUUUCUUUGUCAUUUGACUUUCAUUUGACACAACUUUUCUUUGGAUUAAUUUUAAAAACCUCAUGUUUCUUCUUGUUUUAUAGUAGAUGUAAUGUUAUUCUCAUUUGUAGCAUUAUUAAGAUUUAAGAAUCUUAGAUAGCAUGUAAUUCAUUUUUAUCUUUGUUGCAAUUCUCUUAUUUCUACUAUCUAUUCAUAUCUACAAAUAUCUAAUAUUCUUGUAAAUAUGCUAGGUAAGAUUGGGUAGCAAGUUACUUGGUGUUUCCUAUCACAAUCAGCCACAACAUGAUAAUUGCCACAAGAAGGCCGAGGAUGAGAACAUGAAUAAGAGUCUUAAUAGUUUAUAUGGUUUGUUGAUGUAAAAUUGCUGGUUCCUAACCUUGAUGUGAUAUAUUUUAUCAAUCUAUGUUGUAAGUUAUAAUUUCGUAGACGAUUUUGGAGGAAUAAACUGCUAUGUUGUACAUACAUACAGUUGGCUGCAUACUCGGUGAACCGUAUAAUGUUUGACACCUUGCAAAUACUUCCUCUUGGGUCAAAGUUGGCAUUAGGAUCUAUGUGAUGCAUUAUGCUAAAAAUGUACUGGUUGAAAAUUAGGCCGAAAUAAAUGUGCUAAUAAUGGGCUCGACCCAAUUUAUA